RNAcentral lists this ribosomal RNA (494 nucleotides) under uncultured bacterium. RNAcentral's name for it is "partial 16S ribosomal RNA". It matches the Rfam family "Bacterial small subunit ribosomal RNA", at positions 28 to 507 of the family's 1533-position model. The record is from RNAcentral.
GACGAACGCUGGCGGCGUGCUUAACACAUGCAAGUCGAACGGAAAGGCCUGCUUUCCCUUGUGGAUUGCGGGUACUCGAGUGGCGAACGGGUGGGUAACACGUGAGUGAUCUGCCCCCAACUUGGGUAUAAGCCUGGGAAACUGGGUCUAAUUCCCGAUAGGACUGCAGGGUGGUGCCUGUGGUGGAAAACGAUUUUCUAGUGGUUGGGGAUGAGCUCGCGGCCUAUCAGCUUGUUGGUGGGGUAAUGGCCUACCAAGGCGGCGACGGGUAGCCGGCCUGAGAGGGUGGACGGCCACAUUGGGACUGAGAUACGGCCCAGACUCCUACGGGAGGCAGCAGUGGGGAAUAAUGCACAAUGGGCGGAAGCCUGAUGCAGCGACGCCGCGUGGGAGAUGACGGCCUUCGGGUUGUAAACUCCUUUCGACCGCGAGGAAGCCACCUGGUUGGAAGGGUGGUGACGGUAGUGGUAGAAGAAGCACCGGCUAACUACGUG